This 78-nucleotide transfer RNA is filed under the name Patescibacteria group bacterium. RNAcentral describes it as "tRNA-Ala". It matches the Rfam family "tRNA". From Rfam's summary of the family: Transfer RNA (tRNA) molecules are approximately 80 nucleotides in length. Their secondary structure includes four short double-helical elements and three loops (D, anti-codon, and T loops). The record is from RNAcentral.
GGGAUCGUGGAGGUAACUGGUUAACCUCGCUAGGGUUGCCACCAAGAGAUACGGGUUCGAAUCCCGUCGAUUCCACCA